This is a long non-coding RNA of Homo sapiens (human), 1097 nucleotides long. Ensembl annotates it as long intergenic non-protein coding RNA 3004. The record is from Ensembl. Lineage: Eukaryota; Metazoa; Chordata; Mammalia; Primates; Hominidae.
GUUCCUGGAUCUUCCAGAGCCUGGGGAGUUUUCCUCUUCCUUGGAUUCCAGGAGAUAUGUUAAUAUUCUUUUAAUAAAUGCCUUUUUUGUGUAGAAAUGCUUGUUUGGUUUCUGAUAGUUGUAACCUAAAAAAUCUUUAGUAAGCCAUUGGUCUGCUGUGGGGAGCGUCGAGAUGAAACUGGAACGUUGUUUGAACCUAGAUCAUAAAGUGACUCCAACAUCUUCAUACCAGGGAGAGGAGGAAGCUGUGCUGUGAAGGAUCCUUUUUCAUCAUGAUUAUUGCAUCCACAGAAGCAGUGAUAAAUUCUAACAGAUAAUGCAACUCAGUCUACUUGGAUGUUCACACCUGAGACUGGAGAAGACCUGCUGCCUUCUGCAGAGCCAAACAUUCCUCACAUGCUCCUCCACAAUGCUCCUUACACUGGUCUACCUAAAGAAAACCUCUACAGACAAAGGAGAUGAGCCCAGCAUGGCUUGUUUACAGUGAAUCUAAGCAGAUUCCUCAUCUGUUCUGGGAUACGUGCGUCGAGAUUGCCAGACUGUGGAUAAAAUCUCCCCUCAUGAGUUUUUGCUUCUUUUGGGAGUGUCAGCAUCUAGCCAGCCCUUUAAUGUCUUUCAGGACAAAACCACAGUCCUUAGCAAAGCAUAUAAGAUCUUGAAGACUUGUUCCUGCCAGCAAUGGUUAGGGGUGCUUUCAUCUGCAAGUAAUAAGACAUUCAAUCAACAGUGGCUCCAAUCAGUGCUUCUUAAGCUCUAGUAAACCUUCCAAUCACCAGGGCUUCUUAUUAAAAUGCACAUUCUGAUUUAGGAGGUUGGAGUGGGGGCCUGAGAUUCUGCAUUUCUAACAAGCUCCCAGGUGAUGCUGAUUCUGCUGGUCUAAGGCAAACUUGUGAAUAGCAAGAGCUUAAAAAGACCUUUAAAAGAUGGAGUUUUCUGCCUCUCACAUAACAAGAAAUCCGAAAGUUGUUCUACACUUGAUUCAGAAGAUCAACAAUGUCAUUGCUCUGGGAUUGGCAGAUCAGGGAGUAGCAAAUUAUGCCCCAAAGGCCAAAUCUAGUCCAACAAUUGCUUUUGUAAAUAAAGUUUUAUUGGAACAC